RNAcentral lists this ribosomal RNA (812 nucleotides) under Pseudomonas sp. Its description in RNAcentral is "bacterial SSU rRNA". It matches the Rfam family "Bacterial small subunit ribosomal RNA", at positions 56 to 862 of the family's 1533-position model. The record is from RNAcentral. Lineage: Bacteria; Pseudomonadati; Pseudomonadota; Gammaproteobacteria; Pseudomonadales; Pseudomonadaceae.
UGCAGUCGAGCGGCAGCACGGGUACUUGUACCUGGGGGCGAGCGGCGGACGGGUGAGUAAUGCCUAAGAAUCUCCCUGGUAGUGGGGGAUAACGCUCGGAAACGGACUCUUAUACCGCACACCUCCUACGAGAAAAAGCAGGAGACCUUCGGGCCUUGCUCUAUCAUAUGACCCUAGGUCAGAUUAUCUAUUUUGUGAGGUAGUGGCUCACCAGGGACACUAUCCAUAUCUGGUCUGAGAGGAUGAUCACUCACUCUGGAUCUGACACACGGCCCACACUCCUACGGGAGGCAGCAGUGGGGAAUAUUGGACUAUGGGCAAAAGCCUGAUCCACCCGUGCCGCGUGUGUAAAAAAUGUCUUCAGAUUGUAAAGCUCUUUAAUUUGGGAAGAGGGGCAUUUACCUUACACUUAUGUGUUUUGACUUUCCCGACAGAAUAAGCCCCGGCAAUCUCUGUGCCAGCACCCGCGGUUAUACAGAGGGUGCACGCGUUUAUCGGAUUUACUGGGCGUAAAGCGCGCGUAUGUUGUUCUUUAAUUUGUAUGUGAAAUCCCCGGUCUCACCCUGGGAUCUGCAUUCAAAACUGUCGAUCUAGAGUAUGGUAGAGGGUGGUGGAAUUUCCUGUGUAGCGGAAAAGUGCGUAUAUAUAAGAGAGAACACCAGUGGAGAGCGACACCACCUGGACAGAUACUGACUCUGAUGUGCGAAAGCGUGGAGAGCACACGAGAUUAUAUACCCUGGUACUCCACGCCAUACACUAUCUCCACUACCCUGUGAGAGUCUUGAUCUCUGAGUGGCGCAUCUCACGCAAUA